This 450-nucleotide ribosomal RNA is filed under the name uncultured bacterium. Its description in RNAcentral is "partial 16S ribosomal RNA". It matches the Rfam family "Bacterial small subunit ribosomal RNA", at positions 338 to 795 of the family's 1533-position model. The record is from RNAcentral.
CCUACGGGGGGCUGCAGUUUCGAAUCCUUCACGAUGGGCGAAAGCCUGAUGGUGCGACGCCGCGUGAGGGAUGAAGGCCUUCGGGUUGUAAACCUCUGUCACUGGGGAAGAAACGCUUCAAGUUAAUAGCUUGAAGCCUGACUUAACCCAGAGAGGAAGCAGUGGCUAACUCUGUGCCAGCAGCCGCGGUAAUACAGAGACUGCAUGCGUGAUUCGAAUUCACUGGGCGUAAAGGGUGCGCAUUCGGCCUGAAAGCCCGGGGCUUAACCUCGGAAUUGCGCCUAAAACUACACGGCUAGAGCAUUGGAGAGGGUAGCGGAAUUCACGGUGUAGCAGUGAAAUGCGUAGAUAUCGUGAGGAACACCAGAGGCGAAGGCGGCUACCUGGACAAUUGCUGACGCUCAGGCACGAAAGCGUGGGGAGCAAAAGGGAUUAGAUACCCCAGUAGUC